RNAcentral lists this ribosomal RNA (484 nucleotides) under uncultured bacterium. RNAcentral describes it as "partial 16S ribosomal RNA". It matches the Rfam family "Bacterial small subunit ribosomal RNA", at positions 28 to 507 of the family's 1533-position model. The record is from RNAcentral.
AUUGAACGCUGGCGGCAUGCUUUACACAUGCAAGUCGAACGGCAGCGCGGGCUUCGGCCUGGCGGCGAGUGGCGAACGGGUGAGUAAUGCAUCGGAACGUGCCCAGUAGUGGGGGAUAGCCCGGCGAAAGCCGGAUUAAUACCGCAUACGACCUGAGGGUGAAAGCGGGGGGCCGAAAGGCCUCGCGCUAUUGGAGCGGCCGAUGUCGGAUUAGCUAGUUGGUGGGGUAAAGGCUUACCAAGGCGACGAUCCGUAGCUGGUCUGAGAGGACGACCAGCCACACUGGGACUGAGACACGGCCCAGACUCCUACGGGAGGCAGCAGUGGGGAAUUUUGGACAAUGGGGGCAAACCUGAUCCAGCCAUGCCGCGUGCGGGAAGAAGGCCUUCGGGUUGUAAACCGCUUUUGUUCGGGAAGAAAUCCUCUGGGCUAAUACCCCGGGGGGAUGACGGUACCGGAAGAAUAAGCACCGGCUAACUACGUG